ACGAACGCUGGCGGCGUGCUUAACACAUGCAAGUCGAACGGAAAGGCCCUGCUUUUGUGGGGUGCUCGAGUGGCGAACGGGUGAGUAACACGUGAGUAACCUGCCCUUGACUUUGGGAUAACUUCAGGAAACUGGGGCUAAUACCGGAUAGGAGCUCCUGCUGCAUGGUGGGGGUUGGAAAGUUUCGGCGGUUGGGGAUGGACUCGCGGCUUAUCAGCUUGUUGGUGGGGUAGUGGCUUACCAAGGCUUUGACGGGUAGCCGGCCUGAGAGGGUGACCGGCCACAUUGGGACUGAGAUACGGCCCAGACUCCUACGGGAGGCAGCAGUGGGGAAUAUUGCAAAAUGGGCGGAAGCCUGAUGCAGCAACGCCGCGUGCGGGAUGACGGCCUUCGGGUUGUAAACCGCUUUCGCCUGUGACGAAGCGUGAGUGACGGUAAUGGGUAAAGAAGCACCGGCUAACUACGUG
Molecule: ribosomal RNA, 467 nt
Filed under: uncultured bacterium
Lineage: Bacteria
Description: partial 16S ribosomal RNA
Rfam family: Bacterial small subunit ribosomal RNA
Source: RNAcentral